Molecule: non-coding RNA, 73 nt
Organism: Podarcis lilfordi (Lilford's wall lizard)
Lineage: Eukaryota; Metazoa; Chordata; Lepidosauria; Squamata; Lacertidae
Source: the annotation of a GenBank genome assembly
GGUGGGAUAGCACAGUUGGUAGAGCAGGAAACUCUUAAUCUCAGGGUUGUGGGUUCAAGCCCCAUGCUGGACA